AUUGAACGCUCGCGGGAUGCUUUACACAUGCAAGUCGAACGAGGGGCGGACGGGUGAGUAGUAUAGCGGAACGUGCCAAGUAGCGGGGGAUCACUACGCGAAAGAGUGGCUAAUACCGUAUAAUAUUAGAGCGGCAGAUAUCGGCUGAGCUAGUGGGUGGGGGAAAGGCACACCAAGGACACGAGCCGUAGCUGGUUUGGGAGGACGACCAACCACACUGGAACUGCGACACGGCCCAGACCCAUACGGGAGGCAGCAGUGGGGAAUUUUGGACAAUGGGGGAAGCCCUGAUGCAGCCAUCCCGGUGGUAGGAGAGGGCCUUCGGGUUGUAAAGUACUUUUGGCGGAGAAGCGGUAUCUGCAGAAUAAGCACCGGCUAACUACGUGCCAGCAGCCGCGGUAAUUC
Molecule: ribosomal RNA, 405 nt
Filed under: uncultured bacterium
Lineage: Bacteria
Description: partial 16S ribosomal RNA
Rfam family: Bacterial small subunit ribosomal RNA
Source: RNAcentral